Molecule: ribosomal RNA, 449 nt
Filed under: uncultured bacterium
Lineage: Bacteria
Description: partial 16S ribosomal RNA
Rfam family: Bacterial small subunit ribosomal RNA
Source: RNAcentral
GGCGAACGCUGGCGGCAGGCUUAACACAUGCAAGUCGAACGGGCACUUCGGUGCUAGUGGCAGACGGGUGAGUAACGCGUGGGAACGUGCCUUUCGGUUCGGAAUAAUCCAGGGAAACUUGGACUAAUACCGGAUACGCCCUCCGGGGGAAAGAUUUAUCGCCGAAAGAUCGGCCCGCGUCUGAUUAGCUAGUUGGUGAGGUAAAGGCUCACCAAGGCGACGAUCAGUAGCUGGUCUGAGAGGAUGAUCAGCCACAUUGGGACUGAGACACGGCCCAAACUCCUACGGGAGGCAGCAGUGGGGAAUAUUGGACAAUGGGCGAAAGCCUGAUCCAGCCAUGCCGCGUGAGUGAUGAAGGCCUUAGGGUUGUAAAGCUCUUUUGUCCGGGAAGAUAAUGACUGUACCGGAAGAAUAAGCCCCGGCUAACUUCGUGCCAGCCGCCGCCGUAA